Molecule: long non-coding RNA, 899 nt
Organism: Panthera uncia (snow leopard)
Lineage: Eukaryota; Metazoa; Chordata; Mammalia; Carnivora; Felidae
Exons: 4
Source: RefSeq, a predicted model, not a curated record
AGCAAUCCUGCCAGUGAGCCUUGCAGCCCCGUGAAGGGCAGAGACGUGAAGGCGGGUUGUCACAGCUAGUGGACAGCGGAGCUGGGACGUGAACCCAUGUCUGCCUGUCUGUGGAAACCGCGCCCCGUCCACCGCACCAUGAAUGUGAGUGUGAAUUUCCUCCCCGUCACAAUGCAUGGCAAGUGACUUCACAGCCCUUUUCAGAGCAUCAGUGUCUCAGCGCUUCCAAGCUGUUAGGAUCGAUGAUAGCGCACCCUAGCUGCAAAUCUGUGAAAUUUCACCUUUGUUUCUUUUAGCUUUCUCUCCCUUUUUUUUCCAACAACAACAAAGGCAAUGGCCAUCUUCUGAAAUCUUCUAUAAUGUUAAAAUUCCUUUCAAGAUUUCUUUUGCACCGAUGGAUUGUCCGGAACCAGGAGCCAAACGUGCAAUGCCCUUCUCUGGGAAGGGAGAACACUCAGCUCCAACGUGUGUGACCAAGUGACUGAGAGUAGGUUCGUUUGGUUCUCCUUGUCUGUUUCUUGCUGGCUGUCAAAACCAGGGAAAAACCAAUUCAGUUAUCCACAGUCAGCUGCGGUCUGGAAGCAGAUAAUCCUUUUGACAAACCCUCAGAACGUUAGUAGGAGCCUAACGCUAAGUCACAGUGCCUGAGCCAUUUGUCAUUCACAUGAAUUCAUCUCAUCAUGGGGGCAUUUUACCAUCUCACAUCAUCACAAGGAGGACGGACCUCUCAUUGCCUGACUCAAGAACCAAUUUUCAGAGGCGCCUGGGUGGCUCAGUCGGUUGGGGGUCCGACUUCGGCUCAGGUCAUGAUCUGACAGUUUGUGAGUUCGGGCCCGCGUUGGGCUCUGUGCUGACAGCUCAGAGCCUGGAGCCUGCUUUAGGUUCUGUGUCUCCCUCUC